GAUCGCACUUGUGCUGUGGGUAUUCAACCGUGAUCCAGCUGACAGCCAGUGAUGCUUUGUAAUCACGAAUUAGAAAGCUCUUGAGCAGUACUAAACCUGUUCCUUUAGAUCCAAGGUUCUAACUCAGCGCCCAUACAUGAUAUUCACAAUAGCCCUGAAAACAGGGUAAAAUAACUAUAGAUUCUGUAUCUCUGCAGGGAUUGUUUUCUUCAAGGGGACUCCAUCCUAACAUUUAACUGGUGUUCAUAAAAACCUCGCCAUAAAUCUGAAGAUUACCCUGGCGCCAUGUGCUCCUCAUUGCUCAUCCCUUCAUUGUAGAGCUCUGGUCGUCAUCUGGAAUGAAUAAGUCACAUCAAAAUCGUGAAAUCCUAAGAAGAAAAAAAAAUAGCUUGCAAAGUUAAAACUGCCUUUUUAUUUCUGAAGGAAGAGAUGAAAUGGCGGAAAUCUCUUUAAUUGAGACACAUUUCAUUGAAAGGAGACAAAUGAAUCCAGUGUUUUUGGCAGGAUUUUCGAAAUGAAAGAAAACUGUUUAAAUAAUCCAUUUAAGGGACGACGGUCUGAUUGUCUCCGGAGGUUUUGAUUGACGCAACAUAACACCUGGUUGGAAUCCAUCUUUGCAUUUUUGGUGUUGUGUUUGUCAGGCAGCACUUUCAUGAAGCUAAAAAGUUAACUCAUUCACAGUUAUAUUUAGUAGAGUGAGACGUACAAACAGAAGGAUUUGUUUGUGAUUUUAUGACCAGAAAAUGUUAAGUAUUUAGCAUUUAAAGGUGAAGGGGUCCUACUUUAUCCUCUUAAGGACCCAGCCAUUUUACACCUUAGGACCCGGCCAUUUUUUGAACAUCUGACCACUGUCACUUUAAACAUUAAUAACUCUGGAAUGCUUUUAGUUAUCAUUCUGAUUCCGAGAUAGUUUUUUCAUGACACAUUCUACUUUAACAUAGUGGUAAAAAAAUUUUGGAACUUGCAUCCUUUCUUGGUGAAAAAUUAGAAAAUUUUAUUAAA
Long non-coding RNA from Hyla sarda, 1002 nucleotides. RefSeq lists it as uncharacterized. Lineage: Eukaryota; Metazoa; Chordata; Amphibia; Anura; Hylidae. The transcript has 3 exons. The record is from RefSeq and is a predicted model, not a curated record.